RNAcentral lists this non-coding RNA (76 nucleotides) under Mycoplasmatota bacterium. RNAcentral describes it as "Tenericutes bacterium c-di-GMP sequence". It matches the Rfam family "c-di-GMP-I riboswitch aptamer". Rfam says of the family: GEMM was predicted in a large-scale screen for bacterial structured RNA regulatory elements. Genes associated with GEMM are involved in a diverse array of functions, including chemotaxis regulation, signal transduction, secretion and chitin. Lineage: Bacteria; Bacillati; Mycoplasmatota. The record is from RNAcentral.
UUUGACUUUUGGCAAAGCUAGGGAAACCUAGUGACGCAAAACUAAAGGGCCUUUCAAAUGGUAGCCAGUUGCACUU